CUCUAGGACUUAAACAUACGGUAUUCCCAGUUUUGUGCUUUAAAUCGGGGGCGACACAAGAAGGAGUAGAUGGGUGACGCGUGCCUCCGACAAGGGCCGCUGCCCGCCACUUAAAGGGUCGCUGCUCUCUCGGACCUAAGACUUCACGUCCGUCUAGGUGUGGCAGCCCAGGACGAGGAGGCUGCCGGCGAAGAGGAGGGCGUUUCAGGUCGCGGCGGUGACCACGACACCAGCUGUUUUCGAUGGAAUGAAGAUCUCAACGUCGCUUCUUUAUCUCUUCGGUCCUUGGGGAAGAUUUGCCUAAGUCGAACACGUCAUAAGGUUCUUAAGACUUCUUUGGGGUUCCUUUCUCUGGGUCUCCUCCCGCCCGUCCUACUAGUCACAACCCUUCUGCUUCGUCAUACGUUUGCAAGAACUGUUCGGGGAGUCGGCUCCGUCUGUCCUCCAGUCAAACUCACGUAAGCGUAAGAACAAGAGCCUCCACCAAGUUAUGUUGGUCUGUGUUCAACUGUUGUAACGACUGGACCUUGCUUCCGACCUCCUGCGACCAAUACGACAACCACGAUCUCAAGAACUUGACGACACAGUGUCCCUCUUCCCCUUAUCUGCUCUCUGAGCUGACGACCCCUAAAAUAGUAAGUAAGUGUCGUGACAUACCUUUCAUGACAAGCCUUUCCACCGACUGAGCGAACUCUUUCCUUGUCUUGUACUCCUACUUAUGUACUAAUCACUUUUCCUCGAAGAACAAUUGGCCAAGUAAAGGCACGGCUUUCUGUACCCCCGUAAGUUGACACCUCGAAAACAACGUCCCUAACAUUCCCCGCAUAACCUGUUACGACCAAAAGGUCGCCAUCAAUGCCGUGUAAAACACGGUUAACUUCCGGUCGUCUCCGGGUCCUGUUGUUAGAACUAAUUUAAACGACUUCUCCAAAAUGCAGCCCUUAGUUCUGAACCGACUUUACGUGUGGUCCGAUAAAGAAGACAAGACUAACAUUCUACUUAGGUAAAGUUUAUACAAAACAAGAACUAAAUACAUUAUGAUUAUAUGACCAUUAAAAGGUAGCUUUUCCAUAUGACCAUUAAAACUCUUAUAUUCGUCAUCGGAGUAAAAUACUCACAGAUUGUGCCCUUAUGAUCGUUUUACAUACACGUCUUCUCUUUGUAGUUUUCCUAAUCUUCUCGGGUGCCCCUUCAACUUUUCACCUGAUCAACGAAAGGACGUACAAUACCGGACAAACCAAUAGAUGUAGCAAAAACCAGAUAAAUAGGCACCGACUCAAAUCGACCGACUCCCUUAUGUACGUUUUUUAGUACAACACGUGUCCACGUUUUGGACCACAAAGCAACACGUGCCGGAUUACAAGACCGUGGGAAAGAGUAAUUAUUCCACUGGAAUCUCGUAGAAGUUAUCUACCAGGUUUAAAACUG
Molecule: ribosomal RNA, 1428 nt
Filed under: Triticum aestivum (bread wheat)
Lineage: Eukaryota; Viridiplantae; Streptophyta; Magnoliopsida; Poales; Poaceae
Description: partial small subunit ribosomal RNA
Source: RNAcentral